Non-coding RNA from Vicia faba (fava bean), 264 nucleotides. The record is from the annotation of a GenBank genome assembly. NCBI's taxonomy places the organism in Eukaryota, Viridiplantae, Streptophyta, Magnoliopsida, Fabales, Fabaceae.
AUGCAGCCCACCCCUUUUCCUAGAAGAGUUUUCGCACCAUGGUUAGUAGGGACGUAUGUAUGUGAUUACUUGCAGCCUUUUGAAAUUGUGGAGGUUUUAAAAAGAUCGCGGUAUCGAGUUGUUAUUCGUGGAAACUACAACCGAGGUCUCUACAACUUUGGAACCAGAAACAAAAACUUAAUCAAAUUUUGCAGCAUGAAAAUAUCCAAAACAGGGCAACGUUCAAAGCACAGGACUAUGCAUUUACAUCCAAAUCAGUACUAA